GCCCCGGCUAACUACGUGCCAGCAGCCGCGGUAAUACGUAGGGGCGAGCGUUGUCCGGAAUUAUUGGGCGUAAAGGGUACGUAGGCGGCUUUUUAAGUUUGACGUGAAAGCCCGGGGCUUAACUCCGGCAAGCGUUGAAAACUGGAAGGCUUGAGUGAUGGAAGGGACAGUGGAAUUCCUGGUGUAGUGGUGAAAUGCGCAGAGAUCAGGAAGAAUACCAGUGGCGAAGGCGACUGUCUGGACAUUAACUGACGCUGAGGUACGAAAGCGUGGGUAGCAAACAGGAUUAGAUACCCUGGUAGUCCACGCUGUAAACGAUGAGUGUUAGGUGUCUGGGAUAGACUGGGUGCCAUAGCUAACGCAAUAAACACUCCGCCUGGGGAGUACGCACGCA
This 394-nucleotide ribosomal RNA is filed under the name uncultured bacterium. Its description in RNAcentral is "bacterial SSU rRNA". It matches the Rfam family "Bacterial small subunit ribosomal RNA", at positions 490 to 890 of the family's 1533-position model. The record is from RNAcentral.